AUGUUUAAACAAUAAUUACGUAUUUUUUUAUACAAGAUAAUUAUAAUAAUUAUCCUGUUUGAAACAGAUUAAUCGACUGCAAAAAAUUCUUAAUAUAAACUGUAUUGUCAUUACUGAUGAUCUUUUUUCUGCACUGUAGGAUUAUGCAGCAAAUGCAAAGGAAGCAAUACGCGAGCUGCAUGAUAGGUGGUACAAAGAUCGACAGCUCGAGAUACAUCUCAGUGUUCACGCAAUUAGAGUUAAAAACGUAGCUCUUGGAUACUUAACGAACUACUCGAAAAAGCGUUUGGCGAAGUCAAGCGCGUGAUAGUUUUUGUUGACGAUGGAAAUCAAACUAUUGGCGAAGGAAUCAUCAAAUUCCCGACAAAGACGAACGCUCAAUUGGCCCUGAAAUCGACCCUCGAUCGGUAAACAUAGAGUCGGUCGAACAAAAUAAUACAAACGAUCUACCCAGAAAUAAGAAUCUAUCGCGCAAGCUUCUGAAGUUUUAUACAGCCAGAAAAAUCAGGCCGCAUUUCACGCGAUUGCAUAUCAAGUGUAAAUAUAAUAAACAAUGGAAGAGGUUGUACGAGGAGUACAAAAGUCAGACAGAAAAACUCCAGCGAGAUAAUAUUGAAUUGACGGAAAACAAGGAACUUGUAGUCCCCAAUUAGAAAUCGAGAAAAUAUUGAGAAAAUAUUUCUAAGCGAACAGAAACGUGCGAUCACGCUCCACAAGCAAAUGAUAAUGAAGGUACUACAAAAUAAAGAGAGAAGGUUACUCUCUAGAGGGAAAUAAAAUGGCAACAGCGGGAAGAGCUGUUAUAAUACGGCAGACAAUAAUAUAAAGAAAAAGAUGAAAAGAGACUGAUAACACAGCCGUUAACGAGCGUCGAGACAAGACUACAAUUCUAAAUAUGUUCACUGCAUCGUAAUAUUUACACACAUAAAAACAAAACAAAAAAUGUGAGAAUUUGUAAUCUCGAUUAUUAUAUUCACAGAUCUAUAUUUGUAUGUUCAAGGAAUAGACAAGCCAUACCGGCGAUAAAAAAAAUUAAUAUUUUAUGUUUGGAGAGUUACGACGAAUAUGGAUAAUCGAUGGCUAUUAAUUGGAAAAGAGCCAGGUCGCUUAAUUAUACUCGUUUGUUUGUACUCAAUCAUAGUAAAUAUAUCACAAGGAAUAUUCUGCGCAUCUAUUCAUGAGCCACAACUGGAAAUUUCUAAAUUCAUCU
Molecule: long non-coding RNA, 1210 nt
Organism: Formica exsecta
Lineage: Eukaryota; Metazoa; Arthropoda; Insecta; Hymenoptera; Formicidae
Exons: 3
Source: RefSeq, a predicted model, not a curated record